This 266-nucleotide ribosomal RNA is filed under the name uncultured bacterium. Its description in RNAcentral is "partial 16S ribosomal RNA". It matches the Rfam family "Bacterial small subunit ribosomal RNA", at positions 89 to 354 of the family's 1533-position model. The record is from RNAcentral.
UGGCGACCGGCGCACGGGUGAGUAACACGUAUCCAACCUGCCGAUAACUCGGGGGAUAGCCUUUCGAAAGAAAGAUUAAUAUCCGAUAGCAUAUCAAGAUCGCAUUGAUCUUGAUAUUAAAGAAUUUCGGUUAUCGAUGGGGAUGCGUUCCAUUAGUUAGUUGGCGGGGUAACGGCCCACCAAGACGACGAUGGAUAGGGGUUCUGAGAGGAAGGUCCCCCACAUUGGAACUGAGACACGGUCCAAACUCCUACGGAAGGCAGCAG